UGGGGAAUAUUGCACAAUGGGGGAAACCCUGAUGCAGCAACGCCGCGUGCGGGAUGACGGCCUUCGGGUUGUAAACCGCUUUCAGCCAUGACGAAGCUUUUGUGACGGUAGUGGCAGAAGAAGCACCGGCUAACUACGUGCCAGCAGCCGCGGUGAUACGUAGGGUGCGAGCGUUGUCCGGAAUUAUUGGGCGUAAAGAGCUUGUAGGCGGUUUGUCGCGUCGAAAGUGUAAACUCAGUGCUUAACGCUGAGCCUGCUUUCGAUACGGGCUGACUAGAGGAAGGUAGGGGAGAAUGGAAUUCCCGGUGGAGCGGUGGAAUGCGCAGAUAUCGGGAGGAACACCAGUGGCGAAGGCGGUUCUCUGGACCAUUCCUGACGCUGAGAAGCGAAAGCGUGGGUAGCAAACAGG
Molecule: ribosomal RNA, 409 nt
Filed under: bacterium
Lineage: Bacteria
Description: partial 16S ribosomal RNA
Rfam family: Bacterial small subunit ribosomal RNA
Source: RNAcentral